GGGUGAUGCAGGCUCUUAAAGGGGACGCGGGAAGCCCCGCCCCGGGCGCGGGGUUGGUGCGGCAGGUGCUGCGGCACGCGCUACCUGGGCACUGGUGGCCGCCAAAGCACCUGGCUCUGCCGCACCGGCCGGCAGCGUGUUCAGAGGGCCAAGGGCAUUCUUCAGCCCCGGGAGUGUCCUCGUGCCCCGCGGACUGCACAGCGGUGGCUGCAGGUUGGCAACCCAGGCACCCGCAAGACUCAGGUGAUUUGCUUGGCUUCCAGGUAGCUGCAGAGGCGCUGCCUAAGCCAACCCUCCUGCCCUUUGAGCUUGCCCUCUUUGCAGCCUGGAAAGGAGUGGUGUUCUCUCUGGGGUAAUGAAUAAGUCAUUGCUCCUUGCUUGCUUGUUCACAGAAAACAUUUCACUGUCCUGGUUUCACUAUCCCUUAAGCCUCCUUAACGCUGGGGAAAGCCACCAAUGCUGGGUUUUUUGUUUUUCGUUUUUUUUUCCCCCUAGAUCUGUCACAAUUUGAUGACUUAAAAAGAAGAUGAAAAAAAUGUUAAACCUUAAAGCUGGUCAGGACUAAGAAGCACAUAGAGAAGAACUUGAAUUGUGUCCCCAUGUGGGGACCAAAAGCUAUAAGGAGAAAAAGCCAGAACAGCAGAAGCCAAGGGGGAUCCUUAGCAUCCACAUCCCAAGUGAGGGUCGAUGAACUUGAAAUGUGUCUUUGUAGAAAUGGAGAAGGAAGCAAGCACAACGACUGUAUACAAGAGUGCUCCCACUGUAAGGAAUCUAAGGAAUCGUGAAUUGUAGAAGAAGUAGAUGCAGCCAGGAAUCAUGGAAUCAAAUGUCAGGGGACGCAGGCCAGGUCAUCUCCAGGUAAAGACACGCUCUCCCGCUUUCUGCCGAAGUAUGAGGCCUUCACCAUUUCUCUUUGUUUUUAUAGGCCCCAAAAUUCAGAAAAAUACUUCUCUUCUUUAAGAAAAUUCACUGGCAAAUCUGAUGAUAAACACUAACCAGUCUUCGGUAGCAGGGGAGUACAGAGAACAGAAUGGCAGGGGUGGAUACAAGUUUCGGGAAAUCUAAAACUUACACAAUUGUGAAGGCCUCUUUACAAAAAAAAAAAAAAAAAAAAAAAACUACAGAAUGCAAUGGUCAAAGGCCUUGGAGCAGCAGGGCUCGGGUGCUUGCAUUUCCUUAUCUUUGCCUUAUCUGUGGGCCUCUUUUCUGUGUUGGUGAAGAGCCAACUCAUUAGAAAAGACCCUGAUGCUGGGAAAGAUUGAGGGCAGGAGGAGAAAGGAGCAACAGAGGAUGAGAUGGUUGGAUGGCAUCACCCAACUCAAUGGACAUGAACUUGGGCAAACUCUGGGAGAUAGUGAAGGACAGAGAAGCCUAGCAUGCUACAAUCCAUGGGAUCACAAAAAGUUGACACGACUGAGCAAAUGAACAACAAAUCUGUGUCUCAAGGACCUCUCCACAACCCCAGCUGACUCUUAUGCUUAGGAAAACUGUUCAGAGUGGCGAGAUCUUCUGGUAUUGGAGGCGUAAUGGAAAUUUCCCCCAUUUGAAAAUAUUAACAAAAAAUUCAAAUUAAUAAACUCUUCAUAAGACUUGGCUUUUGGUCAUCACUUUGGCACAUCUGGCAAAGGGAGUCACUAUGCAGUCAUCAAGGUCAAGAAAGGUUAUUGCCCAAAGGACUCCGCUCACCUCUCAGCUGUUCGACCUGGUGGGAGCUGACUGAAACGCUUCAAGCUUAGAGGAUGAUUUGGGGUGAGUAGCUUGAGAAGAGGGUGAGAACAUAAAGAAAAUGUUGGAACAUAGUGGCAGAAGGAGAAGACAGCUUGAAUGUGGGAGGAGAAAGAAAAACUACUUCCAGACCUUGCUCUUUGGAAAUAAAUUGAAUGAUGGCACCUCACACAGUGAGUUGAUAGCUGGGGUACAUGGAAAACUUUAGGACAGCAUUUCAUAAAAAU
Molecule: long non-coding RNA, 1952 nt
Organism: Bubalus bubalis (water buffalo)
Lineage: Eukaryota; Metazoa; Chordata; Mammalia; Artiodactyla; Bovidae
Exons: 3
Source: RefSeq, a predicted model, not a curated record